GAUGAACGCUGGCGGCGUGCCUAAUACAUGCAAGUCGAGCGAACAGACGAGGAGCUUGCUCCUCUGACGUUAGCGGCGGACGGGUGAGUAACACGUGGAUAACCUACCUAUAAGACUGGGAUAACUACGGGAAACAGGAGCUGAUAACAGAUCAUAUAUUGAACCGCAUGGUUCAAUAGUGAAAGACGGUUUUGCUGUCACAUAUAGAUGGAUCCGCGCCGCAUUAGCUAGUUGGUAAGGUAACGGCUUACCAAGGCGACGAUGCGUAGCCGACCUGAGAGGAUGAUCGGCCACACUGGAACUGAGACACGGUCCAGACUCCUACGGGAGGCAGCAGUAGGGAAUCUUCCGCAAUGGGCGCAAGCCUGACCGAGCAAUGCCGCGUGAGUGAUGAAGGUCUUCGGAUCGUAAAACUCUGUUAUUAGGAAAGAACAAAUGUGUAAUUAACUAUGCACGUCUUGACGGUACCUAAUCAGAAAGCCACGGCUAACUACGUG
Molecule: ribosomal RNA, 497 nt
Filed under: uncultured bacterium
Lineage: Bacteria
Description: partial 16S ribosomal RNA
Rfam family: Bacterial small subunit ribosomal RNA
Source: RNAcentral